GCGAACCAUGUGCGUGGAGGCGGGGGAAGAAAGCGGGUGCGAGCGUUAAUCGGAUGUACUGGGCGUAAAGCGUGAGUAGGCGGCUGUUUAAGGCGGAGGUGAAAUCCCCGAGCGUAACUGGGGAAUUGCAUGCGAGACUGGGAAGCUAGAGUAUGGGAGAGGAUGGUAGAAUUCCAGGUGUAGCGGUGAAAUGCGUAGAGAUCUGGAGGAAUACCGAUGGCGAAGGCAGCCAUCUGGCCUAAUACUGACGCUGAGGUACGAAAGCAUGGGGAGCAAACAGGAUUAGAUACCCUAGUAGUC
This 300-nucleotide ribosomal RNA is filed under the name uncultured Rubritalea sp. RNAcentral's name for it is "partial 16S ribosomal RNA". It matches the Rfam family "Bacterial small subunit ribosomal RNA", at positions 496 to 795 of the family's 1533-position model. The record is from RNAcentral. Lineage: Bacteria; Pseudomonadati; Verrucomicrobiota; Verrucomicrobiia; Verrucomicrobiales; Rubritaleaceae.